GGGGGCGUAGCUCUGCGACGGUGAGAUCGCCCACCUUAUAAGCGGGAGGUCGUGGGUUCGACACCCACCGCUCCUACCA
Molecule: transfer RNA, 79 nt
Filed under: Verrucomicrobiota bacterium
Lineage: Bacteria; Pseudomonadati; Verrucomicrobiota
Description: Verrucomicrobia bacterium (microbial mat metagenome) tRNA-Ile
Rfam family: tRNA
About the family: Transfer RNA (tRNA) molecules are approximately 80 nucleotides in length. Their secondary structure includes four short double-helical elements and three loops (D, anti-codon, and T loops). Further hydrogen bonds mediate the characteristic L-shaped molecular structure. tRNAs have two regions of fundamental functional importance: the anti-codon, which is responsible for specific mRNA codon recognition, and the 3' end, to which the tRNAs corresponding amino acid is attached (by aminoacyl-tRNA synthetases). tRNAs cope with the degeneracy of the genetic code in two manners: having more than one tRNA (with a specific anti-codon) for a particular amino acid; and 'wobble' base-pairing, i.e. permitting non-standard base-pairing at the 3rd anti-codon position.
Source: RNAcentral